UACGAAGGGGGCUAGCGUUGCUCGGAAUUACUGGGCGUAAAGGGCUCGUAGGCGGCCAACUAAGUCAUACGUGAAAUCCCUCAGCUUAACUGGGGAACUGCGUGUGAUACUGGAUGGCUUGGAUUUGGGAGAGGGAUGCGGAAUUCCAGGUGUAGCGGUGAAAUGCGUAGAGAUGCGGAGGAACACCGAUGGCGAAGGCAGCCCCCUGGGCCAACACUGACGCUCAGGCACGAAAGCGUGGGGAGCAAACAGG
This 253-nucleotide ribosomal RNA is filed under the name uncultured bacterium. RNAcentral describes it as "partial 16S ribosomal RNA". It matches the Rfam family "Bacterial small subunit ribosomal RNA", at positions 524 to 776 of the family's 1533-position model. The record is from RNAcentral.